CUCCUUCCCGGUUACAUCUCUAAACAAAAUCAUGGCUACACAGAUCGGAUCUGAGAUGACGUUCUUCUGUUGAGCGGUGCUCACGGUGUCAUGACGGCGUCGACCCAACGAACCACACCACUGUAUCAGGAGAGGAUUAACUUGGACCGUGCUGAGAGAGAAUAACAUGAAAAGAGGUUACAAGAAAAGCGUGCUGAAAGGGAAAGAAUGUUGGAAGAGGAGCAAAGUUCAAGACUGGAAUUUGAAAAAAAAAAUAUGAUGGCAAAGUUCAGCCAACAGAUGGCUAAAUUAAGCAAAAAAAAAGGGAAACCAACAGGUGCUUAAGAAGAGGAAUGACAAAGAAAUACGGAGUAGUAAUCCAAAUUUGCAAACUACUAGCUCUAGUCCUAGUAGGAAUCUAGGAGCAAAGCCAAAUGUGAUUUCUUCAAAUGCACUCUUACAAGCUACGACACUGAAUUGUAGAUUUUACAAAGCAAUGGAACCAAAGAAAUUGCUGGAGAGGGUACAAGUAAUGGGAAUACGCACCUAGAGUAGAGAUUUCAAGAAUCACGAUGGUGAUGUAUUAUACAUCAUGGACAAUUUAGUCUUACACUUAAUUAGGAUGGCUACAUUUUUCUUGAGUUUCAUUUGAUGGAUAUUUAUGAUCAGAAUUUUGAUUUGUAUGAACUGACAUAUUAUACGUAUGGUUUUAAAUUUUGUAAUUUAAUGACUGUUUUUUUA
Molecule: long non-coding RNA, 720 nt
Organism: Lolium perenne
Lineage: Eukaryota; Viridiplantae; Streptophyta; Magnoliopsida; Poales; Poaceae
Source: RefSeq, a predicted model, not a curated record